CCUACGGGAGGCAGCAGUGAGGAAUAUUGGUCAAUGGACGAGAGCCUGAACCAGCCAAGUAGCGUGACGGAUUACUGCCCUACGGGUUGUAAACUUCUUUUAUAGGGGAAUAAAGUGCAGGACGUGUGCAUUUUUGUAUGUACCUUAUGAAUAAGGAUCGGCUAACUCCGUGCCAGCAGCCGCGGUAAUACGGAGGAUCCGAGCGUUAUCCGGAUUUAUUGGGUUUAAAGGGAGCGUAGGUGGUCUGUUAAGUCAGUUGUGAAAGUUUGCGGCUCAACCGUAAAAUGGCAGUUGAUACUGGCAGUCUUGAGUGCAGGAGAGGUAGGCGGAAUUCGUGGUGUAGCGGUGAAAUGCUUAGAUAUCACGAAGAACUCCGAUUGCGAAGGCAGCUUACUGGACUGCCACUGACGCUGAUGCUCGAAAGUGUGGGUAUCAAACAGGAUUAGAUACCCGGGUAGUC
RNAcentral lists this ribosomal RNA (460 nucleotides) under uncultured bacterium. Its description in RNAcentral is "partial 16S ribosomal RNA". It matches the Rfam family "Bacterial small subunit ribosomal RNA", at positions 338 to 795 of the family's 1533-position model. The record is from RNAcentral.